CCCGUGCCUGCUUGGCUGGGCAUCAGACCCCUGCAGCUUCGGAGGGCAGAGUCUAUAGCUAGUUUAAUAUUAACCUGGACUGUCCCUUUCCCUGUGCCUUGCACCCCUCCCUGGAGACCAGCGGCCUCAGAGACUGCCAGACCCAGGUGACAGAUCCUUAGCAUCCUCUGCAAGGCUGCACAGGUGUGAUGUCUGCACCUUCAUGUGCACACAACCAACUGUGGGACAAGCUUAGCAACUUUGUGUCUGCAAACACUCCUGAUGCAAAGAAGUCUGUGUGAGGAACUAACUGUCCAUAAUGAAAACUGCUGAAGGUCAGUCCAGCCUCCGAAAGUUGGUUUGCACUGGCGGGUCCCUGAAGGCAAUGGAGGUGCGGCGAGGAGCAUGGGCGGGGUCUUCCUCCCCACGCCAGG
Molecule: long non-coding RNA, 413 nt
Organism: Apodemus sylvaticus (European woodmouse)
Lineage: Eukaryota; Metazoa; Chordata; Mammalia; Rodentia; Muridae
Exons: 3
Source: RefSeq, a predicted model, not a curated record